GGAAUAUUGCGCAAUGGAGGAAACUCUGACGCAGUGACGCCGCGUAUAGGAUGAAGGUUUUCGGAUUGUAAACUAUUGUCGUUAGGGAAGAUUUAAGACAGUACCUAAGGAGGAAGCUCCGGCUAACUACGUGCCAGCAGCCGCGGUAAUACGUAGGGAGCAAGCGUUAUCCGGAUUUAUUGGGUGUAAAGGGUGCGUAGACGGGAAGGCAAGUUAGUUGUGAAAUCCCUCGGCUUAACUGAGGAACUGCAACUAAAACUAUCUUUCUUGAGUGCAGGAGAGGAAAGAGGAAUUCCUAGUGUAGCGGUGAAAUGCGUAGAUAUUAGGAGGAACACCAGUGGCGAAGGCGUCUUUCUGGACUGUAACUGACGUUGAGGCACGAAAGUGUGGGGAGCAAACA
Molecule: ribosomal RNA, 400 nt
Filed under: uncultured bacterium
Lineage: Bacteria
Description: bacterial SSU rRNA
Rfam family: Bacterial small subunit ribosomal RNA
Source: RNAcentral